AGAGUUUGAUCCUGGCUCAGAUUGAACGCUGGCGGCAUGCCUUACACAUGCAAGUCGAACGGUAACAGGUCUUCGGAUGCUGACGAGUGGCGAACGGGUGAGUAAUACAUCGGAACGUGCCCGAGAGUGGGGGAUAACGAAGCGAAAGCUUUGCUAAUACCGCAUACGAUCUCAGGAUGAAAGCAGGGGACCGCAAGGCCUUGCGCUCACGGAGCGGCCGAUGGCAGAUUAGGUAGUUGGUGGGAUAAAAGCUUACCAAGCCGACGAUCUGUAGCUGGUCUGAGAGGACGACCAGCCACACUGGGACUGAGACACGGCCCAGACUCCUACGGGAGGCAGCAGUGGGGAAUUUUGGACAAUGGGCGCAAGCCUGAUCCAGCCAUGCCGCGUGCAGGAUGAAGGCCUUCGGGUUGUAAACUGCUUUUGUACGGAACGAAAAGACUCUGGUUAAUACCUGGGGUCCAUGACGGUACCGUAAGAAUAAGCACCGGCUAACUACGUGCCAGCAGCCGCGGUAAUACGUAGGGUGCGAGCGUUAAUCGGAAUUACUGGGCGUAAAGCGUGCGCAGGCGGUUAUGUAAGACAGAUGUGAAAUCCCCGGGCUCAACCUGGGAACUGCAUUUGUGACUGCAUAGCUAGAGUACGGCAGAGGGGGAUGGAAUUCCGCGUGUAGCAGUGAAAUGCGUAGAUAUGCGGAGGAACACCGAUGGCGAAGGCAAUCCCCUGGGCCUGUACUGACGCUCAUGCACGAAAGCGUGGGAAGCAAACAGGAUUAGAUACCCUGGUAGUCCACGCCCUAA
Molecule: ribosomal RNA, 800 nt
Filed under: uncultured bacterium
Lineage: Bacteria
Description: bacterial SSU rRNA
Rfam family: Bacterial small subunit ribosomal RNA
Source: RNAcentral